This is a long non-coding RNA of Salvia miltiorrhiza (redroot sage), 1730 nucleotides long. RefSeq lists it as uncharacterized. The record is from RefSeq and is a predicted model, not a curated record. The transcript has 3 exons. NCBI's taxonomy places the organism in Eukaryota, Viridiplantae, Streptophyta, Magnoliopsida, Lamiales, Lamiaceae.
AGGAAUAGAUAACGGUUUGGCAAAAAUCCGUUAUCUAUGUACUGUUGUCUAUAUGAAUAGAUAACAGUUUGAAUUAAUUCGUUAUGUAUGAGCGUUAUGUAUUAGUUGCAUACAUAACGGUAUUAUCGAACCGUUAUCUAUGAGCGAUAAUACCGUUAUGUAUGAGCGUCUUUUUAUAACGGUUGUUUUAAUCGUUAUAUAUGAGCGUCUAAAAACUGUUAUGUAUUAUUUUUUAUAUUUAUUUUUAAAUUUAAUAAUAUUAUAAAAAAUAAAACUCUAACAUUCCUCCCUUUACCCCCUACUCUCUAUCUCGUCCCUCAUCCCCCAGCUUUCUCUCUCUCUCAACUCCGGCCAUAGAAUCACGCCCUCCCUCUGUCCUCCGCGGCCGCAGCAACGACAGCCACCAAGCUCGUCACACUUCCCUCGUCUCCCUUCCCUCGUCUCCCUCUCAAUCCCCCAUCUCUCAAUUCUUAUGAAGAAGACACAAAGCCCCAAAUUUACUCACAAAAUCGUGCCCUAGCUGCUCCUCCGGCGAAUCGCCGCUGCCAGUGGAGGGUCGGCGAGGUGCAGCCCUUCCCUCUCUCAUCCUCUUCACUCAAUUCUUCUCAUUUUCUCAAACUCCCAACCUCAAAAUCGUACCGAGCCCUAAUUAUCUCUCUCUACCUGAACCCAGCGAUGUCACCGCGGUUCCGGUUCGAUGUGCCGUCGUGCCGUCGGCUUGGGUUCCACAGAUUGUGUUUUGCUUCAAAGGAAAUCAGUAAGGGCUGUCGUCGACGCUGGGUCCUGAAACGGUGAGGUUCGCCGUUCUAACUUGAUGGGAACAGGGCAGUCGGGCUUCCUAAGAGCUAAGUCUUACUCUUGUCUCAUUUCUUAUCCAUUGUGAUAUAGUAUCAAUGUAAGCAUGUUGACUUCUUUGAGUAAGAAAAUAUCAGAACUUAACAUCUAUCAGUGUAUGUCGUGGCUAAAAUCUUAGAGGUUGGGAUCUCGCUUGGGUGCUUGUAUCAGAUAUUAUUAUGAGUCUCGCUUAGUUGAAUCUCUUCGUAAGUCAGAUACAUGUCAAAAUCUUAGAGGGAAUAGCUUACAUUAGUGGCAAGACCGGUCAUGCUUUAGACCAGAAUCCGUUUGUUCUGAUUGUUGGAAGAUGUGUAGAUUGCAUUUGGUAUUAGAUGCUAACAGGCGUGCUCACUUAUAUCCGAGAACUGAGGAGGCUCUUGAUAUAAUUUCCUUUGGUUUCAUUUUUCUUCUUCAGGUAGUUCAUACUCAAGCAAAGGUGACAGCAGACCAGGAAUGAAACUUGACCACCAACUUGAAGAAAAGUAAAGUGACAUGUUCUUCAGAAGGAAUGACUGCUGAAUAUAUUUAAUAGGAAUCAAGUUUCAGGCUGCAAAGCGCCAGGGAGAUGUUAUUCACUACUCUUGGCUCCUUGAAUGUUGUAUGCAGAAGCAGCUUCUCCCUUUACAGCCAAAGUACUUUCUUUUUCUAUCUGAGGCAACUAAGAAAAAGCUGGAAGAAGAAGUUGACGAGUUUUCGGACUCCUACUAUUUGGAUUUAAAUGUGACAGAACUGGAACAUGUACAGAAAUUUUGUUAUACGUGUUCAAUUUUAAGAGAAGAUAUUAAACAACAUUGACAAGAUUGAAGAUUCUAAAGCAAAAGAGUACUGCAAGAAAUUCUGUCCCAGGGAGGAGUGGGUUCGCUUUCAUGGUUGUCGUGUUUACUUCCACCUACCCA